RNAcentral lists this unclassified non-coding RNA (200 nucleotides) under uncultured fungus. RNAcentral describes it as "sequence contains ITS1, 5.8S rRNA gene". The record is from RNAcentral. Lineage: Eukaryota; Fungi.
CCGAAUUGUCAACACGAGUUGUUGCUGGUCCUCAAACGGGGACAUGUGCACGCUCUGUUUGUACAUCCACUCACACCUGUGCACUCUCUGUAGUUCUGUGGCCUGGGGGCUCUGCCCCCCUGCUGUGGUUCUAUGUAUUUAUACACACACACCGCAAUAAAGUAUCAUGGAAUGCAUGCCGCGUCUAACGCAAUACAAUA